UUACUUCCACUGAAGUUCAUACCUUUCUUCGUGGGGGCCUGGUGUGCAGUGGCUGCAAAAAGCAACCUCUUUGAAGGUGCACACAUCCUAUUGCUUGAAUGAGUUUCCCUAAGGAACCUUGGAGACAGCC
Small nucleolar RNA from Heterocephalus glaber (naked mole-rat), 130 nucleotides. Its record names the gene SNORA70. It matches the Rfam family "Small nucleolar RNA SNORA70". Rfam says of the family: snoRNA U70 seems to be exclusive to mammals and is a member of the H/ACA class of snoRNA which contain H (ANANNA) and ACA box motifs. Lineage: Eukaryota; Metazoa; Chordata; Mammalia; Rodentia; Bathyergidae. The record is from Ensembl.